This is a non-coding RNA of Bos taurus (domestic cattle), 73 nucleotides long. Lineage: Eukaryota; Metazoa; Chordata; Mammalia; Artiodactyla; Bovidae. The record is from Rfam.
UCCCUGGUGGUUCAGUGGUUUGGACUCAGUGCUCCCAAUGCAGGGGGCCCAGGUUCAAUCCCUGGUCAGGGAG